AGCGAACGCUGGCGGCAUGCUUAACACAUGCAAGUCGCACGGGCAUUUCGGUGUCAGUGGCGGACGGGUGAGUAACGCGUAGGUAUCUAUCCUUGGGUGGGGACAACGGUUGGAAACGACUGCUAAUACCGCAUGAUAACUGAGGUUUAAAGGCGCAAGUCGCCUGAGGAGGAGCCUGCGUACGAUUAGCUAGUUGGUGGGGUAAAGGCCUACCAAGGCGACGAUCGUUAGCUGGCUGAGAGGAUGAUCAGCCACAUUGGGACUGAGACACGGCCCAAACUCCUACGGGAGGCAGCAGUGGGGAAUAUUGGACAAUGGGCGCAAGCCUGAUCCAGCAAUGCCGCGUGUGUGAAGAAGGUCUUCGGAUUGUAAAGC
This 375-nucleotide ribosomal RNA is filed under the name uncultured bacterium. RNAcentral's name for it is "bacterial SSU rRNA". It matches the Rfam family "Bacterial small subunit ribosomal RNA", at positions 29 to 431 of the family's 1533-position model. The record is from RNAcentral.